UGCUAAUAAGGUAGAGAGAGGAUUUGAGAGGAUAGACUCCAUGAUUUUUUCCACUGGAGAACAGGUUCUGAGGAUACCACAUAAAGUCAGGAAUCCCUGGAGCCCAACAACAGUGAUUUGUAUGAAUAAGCUGCCACAGCCACCUCACCUUCAGUGACCACCUCCUUGGAUAGUCAGCGGCCAUCAACAUCGAGGCAAGACCUUCCACCAGUGAAAAGACUGACUUGCUGAAAGUUCAAAUGAUGGUUAACAUUUUCUAG
Long non-coding RNA from Canis lupus familiaris (dog), 260 nucleotides. RefSeq lists it as uncharacterized. The record is from RefSeq and is a predicted model, not a curated record. NCBI's taxonomy places the organism in Eukaryota, Metazoa, Chordata, Mammalia, Carnivora, Canidae. The transcript is spliced from 3 exons.